UUGCAUCCCUUUGAAUUUACAUAACAAAACAUGCAUUAGGGUUCUCAUCACUAAACAUUUGGGGCGCAGGUGGAUAUAAGGUGGAUGAGUACGAUUCCGCGGUGGAUGUUUGAGGAUACAUAUGAUAGCUCUGAGGGUGGUAAUAGUAGAACUCAUGCUUAUUCAUAUCCAAUACUUGUGCAUCCUCUGAUUGUUCAACAGUAGUGGCGGCAGCAUCAGGUUUUGCUGCCUCCUCGCCACCACCUUCCUUCUUUUCUUUUCCACCCCCCACUGCCUCCUCGCCUUUCUUUGCUUCCUUAUCCUUAUCCCCCACCUUCGUCGCCUUUCUUCUCCUCUUAAUCUUCUUUUUUCU
This 352-nucleotide long non-coding RNA is filed under the name Daucus carota (carrot). Its description in RNAcentral is "long non-coding RNA (DCAR_LNC005035)". Lineage: Eukaryota; Viridiplantae; Streptophyta; Magnoliopsida; Apiales; Apiaceae. The record is from RNAcentral.